GAUGAACGCUAGCUACAGGCUUAACACAUGCAAGUCGAGGGGCAGCAUGAAAGGAACUUCGGUUCUUUNUGAUGGCGACCGGCGCACGGGUGCGUAACGCGUAUCGAACCUGCCUCAUACUCGGGGAUAGCCUUGCGAAAGUAAGAUUAAUACCCGGCGGUCUCGGAUGGCCGCAUGACUGUCCGAGUGAAGAUUUAUCGGUAUGAGAUGGCGAUGCGUCCCAUUAGCUUGUUGGUGAGGUAACGGCUCACCAAGGCAUCGAUGGGUAGGGGUUCUGAGAGGAAGGUCCCCCACAUUGGAACUGAGACACGGUCCAAACUCCUACGGGAGGCAGCAGUGAGGAAUAUUGGUCAAUGGGCGAGAGCCCGAACCAGCCAAGUAGCGUGAAGGAUGACUGCCCUAUGGGUUGUAAACUUCUUUUAUAAAGGAAUAAAGUCGGGUAUGCAUACCCGUUUGCAUGUACUUUAUGAAUAAGGAUCGGCUAACUCCGUGCCAGCAGCCGCGGUAAUACGGAGGAUCCGAGCGUUAUCCGGAUUUAUUGGGUUUAAAGGGAGCGUAGAUGGAUGUUUAAGUCAGUUGUGAAAGUUUGCGGCUCAACCGUAAAAUUGCAGUUGAUACUGGAUAUCUUGAGUGCAGUUGAGGCAGGCGGAAUUCGUGGUGUAGCGGUGAAAUGCUUAGAUAUCACGAAGAACUCCGAUUGCGAAGGCAGCCUGCUAAGCUGCAACUGACAUUGAGGCUCGAAAGUGUGGGUAUCAAACAGG
This 761-nucleotide ribosomal RNA is filed under the name uncultured bacterium. RNAcentral describes it as "bacterial SSU rRNA". It matches the Rfam family "Bacterial small subunit ribosomal RNA", at positions 28 to 776 of the family's 1533-position model. The record is from RNAcentral.